RNAcentral lists this ribosomal RNA (1347 nucleotides) under uncultured bacterium. RNAcentral describes it as "partial 16S ribosomal RNA". It matches the Rfam family "Bacterial small subunit ribosomal RNA", at positions 28 to 1381 of the family's 1533-position model. The record is from RNAcentral.
GACGAACGCUGGCGGCGUGCUUAACACAUGCAAGUCGAACGGAAAGGCCCUGCUUUUGUGGGGUGCUCGAGUGGCGAACGGGUGAGUAACACGUGAGUAACCUGCCCUUGACUUUGGGAUAACUUCAGGAAACUGGGGCUAAUACCGGAUAGGAGCUCCUGCUGCAUGGUGGGGGUUGGAAAGUUUCGGCGGUUGGGGAUGGACUCGCGGCUUAUCAGCUUGUUGGUGGGGUAGUGGCUUACCAAGGCUUUGACGGGUAGCCGGCCUGAGAGGGUGACCGGCCACAUUGGGACUGAGACACGGCCCAGACUCCUACGGGAGGCAGCAGUGGGGAAUAUUGCACAAUGGGCGGAAGCCUGAUGCAGCAACGCCGCGUGCGGGAUGACGGCCUUCGGGUUGUAAACCGCUUUCGCCUGUGACGAAGCGUGAGUGACGGUAAUGGGUAAAGAAGCACCGGCUAACUACGUGCCAGCAGCCGCGGUGAUACGUAGGGUGCGAGCGUUGUCCGGAUUUAUUGGGCGUAAAGGGCUCGUAGGUGGUUGAUCGCGUCGGAAGUGUAAUCUUGGGGCUUAACCCUGAGCGUGCUUUCGAUACGGGUUGACUUGAGGAAGGUAGGGGAGAAUGGAAUUCCUGGUGGAGCGGUGGAAUGCGCAGAUAUCAGGAGGAACACCAGUGGCGAAGGCGGUUCUCUGGGCCUUUCCUGACGCUGAGGAGCGAAAGCGUGGGGAGCGAACAGGCUUAGAUACCCUGGUAGUCCACGCUGUAAACGGUGGGUACUAGGUGUGGGGUCCAUUCCACGGGUUCCGUGCCGUAGCUAACGCUUUAAGUACCCCGCCUGGGGAGUACGGCCGCAAGGCUAAAACUCAAAGGAAUUGACGGGGCCCCGCACAAGCGGCGGAGCAUGCGGAUUAAUUCGAUGCAACGCGUAGAACCUUACCUGGGUUUGACAUGGAUCGGGAGUGCUCAGAGAUGGGUGUGCCUCUUUUGGGGUCGGUUCACAGGUGGUGCAUGGCUGUCGUCAGCUCGUGUCGUGAGAUGUUGGGUUAAGUCCCGCAACGAGCGCAACCCUUGUUCACUGUUGCCAGCACGUUAUGGUGGGGACUCAGUGGAGACCGCCGGGGUCAACUCGGAGGAAGGUGGGGAUGACGUCAAGUCAUCAUGCCCCUUAUGUCCAGGGCUUCACGCAUGCUACAAUGGCUGGUACAGAGAGUGGCGAGCCUGUGAGGGUGAGCGAAUCUCGGAAAGCCGGUCUCAGUUCGGAUUGGGGUCUGCAACUCGACCUCAUGAAGUCGGAGUCGCUAGUAAUCGCAGAUCAGCAACGCUGCGGUGAAUACAGUUCCCGGGGCU